This 1055-nucleotide ribosomal RNA is filed under the name Sphingobacterium sp. Its description in RNAcentral is "bacterial SSU rRNA". It matches the Rfam family "Bacterial small subunit ribosomal RNA", at positions 70 to 1124 of the family's 1533-position model. The record is from RNAcentral. Lineage: Bacteria; Pseudomonadati; Bacteroidota; Sphingobacteriia; Sphingobacteriales; Sphingobacteriaceae.
AUCGGAGAGCUUGCUCGAAGAUGGUGAGAGUGGCGCACGGGUGCGUAACGCGUGAGCAACCUACCUCUAUCAGGGGGAUAGCCUCUCGAAAGAGAGAUUAACACCGCAUAAUAUAAUUUCCCGGCAUCGACGAAUUAUUAAAUAUUUAUAGGAUAGAGAUGGGCUCGCGUGACAUUAGCUAGUUGGUAGGGUAACGGCUUACCAAGGCGACGAUGUCUAGGGGCUCUGAGAGGAGAAUCCCCCACACUGGUACUGAGACACGGACCAGACUCCUACGGGAGGCAGCAGUAAGGAAUAUUGGUCAAUGGGCGGAAGCCUGAACCAGCCAUGCCGCGUGCAGGAUGACUGCCCUAUGGGUUGUAAACUGCUUUUGUCCAGGAAUAAACCUAUAUACGUGUAUCUAGCUGAAUGUACUGGAAGAAUAAGGAUCGGCUAACUCCGUGCCAGCAGCCGCGGUAAUACGGAGGAUCCGAGCGUUAUCCGGAUUUAUUGGGUUUAAAGGGUGCGUAGGCGGCCUAUUAAGUCAGGGGUGAAAUACGGUGGCUCAACCAUCGCAGUGCCUUUGAUACUGAUGGGCUUGAAUCCAUUUGAAGUGGGCGGAAUAAGACAAGUAGCGGUGAAAUGCAUAGAUAUGUCUUAGAACUCCGAUUGCGAAGGCAGCUCACUAAGCUGGUAUUGACGCUGAUGCACGAAAGCGUGGGGAUCGAACAGGAUUAGAUACCCUGGUAGUCCACGCCCUAAACGAUGAUAACUCGAUGUUGGCGAUAGACAGCCAGCGUCCCAGCGAAAGCGUUAAGUUAUCCACCUGGGGAGUACGCCCGCAAGGGUGAAACUCAAAGGAAUUGACGGGGGCCCGCACAAGCGGAGGAGCAUGUGGUUUAAUUCGAUGAUACGCGAGGAACCUUACCCGGGCUUGAAAGUUAGUGAAGAGUGCAGAGACGCACUCGUCCUUCGGGACACGAAACUAGGUGCUGCAUGGCUGUCGUCAGCUCGUGCCGUGAGGUGUUGGGUUAAGUCCCGCAACGAGCGCAACCCCUAUGUUUAGUUGCCAGCAU